This is a non-coding RNA of Acanthosepion pharaonis, 115 nucleotides long. The record is from the annotation of a GenBank genome assembly. NCBI's taxonomy places the organism in Eukaryota, Metazoa, Mollusca, Cephalopoda, Sepiida, Sepiidae.
UUGCGACCACAUCCCGUAGAAAUACCGGUUACAGUACGAUCACGGUGAGUUAAGCAACGUCGAGCCUUGUCAGUACCUAGAUGGGUGACCGACUGGGAAUACCAGGUGCUGUAAG